GUGCUCACAUUGGCGGUACAUGUACUGAAAGUGGACCAAUACAUAGAAAAUUAGCAUGGCUCCUACACAAGGAUGGCAUGCAAAUUCCUGAGGUAUUCCAUAAUUUU
This is a small nuclear RNA of Jaculus jaculus (lesser Egyptian jerboa), 107 nucleotides long. The record is from Ensembl. NCBI's taxonomy places the organism in Eukaryota, Metazoa, Chordata, Mammalia, Rodentia, Dipodidae.